UACGUAGGGGGCUAGCGUUAUCCGGAAUUACUGGGCGUAAAGGGUGCGUAGGCGGUCUUUCAAGUCAGGAGUGAAAGGCUACGGCUCAACCGUAGUAAGCUCUUGAAACUGUAAGACUUGAGUGCAGGAGAGGAGAAUGGAAUUCCUAGUGUAGCGGUGAAAUGCGUAGAGAUUAGGAAGAACACCAGUGGCGAAGGCGAUUCUCUGGACUGUAACUGACGCUGAGGCUCGAAAGCGUGGGGAGCAAACAGGAUUAGAUACCCGCGUAGU
This 270-nucleotide ribosomal RNA is filed under the name uncultured prokaryote. RNAcentral describes it as "partial 16S ribosomal RNA". It matches the Rfam family "Bacterial small subunit ribosomal RNA", at positions 524 to 794 of the family's 1533-position model. The record is from RNAcentral.